Numida meleagris (helmeted guineafowl) is the source of this 12555-nucleotide RNA transcript. It is a transcript of the gene named zinc finger SWIM-type containing 8, with no coding region annotated. The record is from RefSeq and is a predicted model, not a curated record. The transcript has 27 exons. Lineage: Eukaryota; Metazoa; Chordata; Aves; Galliformes; Numididae.
CGAGCCGCCGGGAGGUCGCGCUGCCCCCGCCGUGGGCGCCCCGACCCCGCCGAACCCCCUCCUUCCGGCGGAGCUCGGGCUCACCGCCCCCCGGGGGCGUUCCUGAGGUGCCGCGGGCGGGGGAGGCCCGGUCCCGGCGGGGCUUUGCCCUGAGAGUGAGACAAGCACCAGCGCAGGGAGCCCCGGCCGGUGCGCGGCCGCUGCGGGCCCGAACUUGGGGCUACUGGCGCCCGGAGCGCCGGGCUGUGACAGGCGCGCACCUGCCCGGGCUGGAAGCACCUCUCCACAGACCAGCCGCCUCUGGGGUCGGACACACUUUGUGGACAUAAGCAUUUUUUAAACUUUUUUUUUUUUUUAAGAACUCGUUUUCUGGGAUUUUUACAAGCAGCCCCUUAGUUGGCAUUGGUUUCCUGCUUCUCCCACCUCAAGGUAGCGUUUGCUCUGUUCUUCCUGGUACCAUAUAUCAUGGGGAUCUGAUCGGAAUUGAUAUUUUAAGUACUCCAGGAGCCCCCCAGCCCAUCCACCUGUUAAAGCGAGCAGCUCCGCUUCAUUCUUUCUUCUUUUUUUCUCUGUGUCGCCUGUUGGAUGUGAUGGAACUCAUGUUUGCGGAGUGGGAGGAUGGGGAGAGGUUCUCUUUCGAGGACUCUGAUCACUUUGAGGAGGACUCCCUUUGUUCCUUCAUCUCAGAGGCAGAAAGCCUUUGCCAGAACUGGAGAGGAUGGCGGAAGCAAUCGGCCGGACCCAAUUCUCCCACUGUCAAAAUGAAAGAUGGGCUGGUGAUCCCAUUGGUGGAACUGUCUGCAAAACAGGUUGCAUUUCACAUUCCAUUUGAGGUCGUGGAGAAAGUUUAUCCUCCAGUUCCCGAGCAACUACAGCUUCGGAUUGCCUUCUGGAGUUUCCCUGAAAAUGAGGAAGAUAUUAGAUUGUACUCAUGUUUGGCUAAUGGCAGUGCAGACGAGUUCCAGAGAGGGGAGCAGCUGUUCCGAGUGAGGGCAGUCAAAGACCCUCUCCAGAUAGGUUUCCAUCUGAGUGCCACUGUGGUACCCCCACAGAUGAUGUCACCCAAAGGUGCAUACAAUGUGGCAGUGAUGUUUGACCGAUGCAGGAUCACAUCAUGCAGCUGUACCUGUGGAGCUGGGGCCAAGUGGUGUGCUCACGUCGUGGCGCUCUGUCUCUUCCGGAUACACAAUGCAUCUGCAGUAUGCUUACGAGCACCUGUUUCUGAGUCCUUGUCUCGGCUACAAAGAGACCAAUUGCAAAAAUUUGCUCAGUACCUAAUCAGCGAACUUCCACAACAGAUUCUUCCAACUGCUCAGCGCUUGCUGGAUGAGUUGUUGUCUUCUCAGUCCACUGCAAUCAACACAGUGUGUGGAGCCCCAGAUCCCACUGCUGGACCCUCUGCAUCAGAUCAAAGCACCUGGUACCUAGAUGAAUCUACCCUGAGUGACAACAUAAAGAAAACCCUUCAUAAAUUCUGUGGACCCUCUCCUGUUGUUUUCAGUGAUGUGAAUUCCAUGUAUCUCUCUUCCACGGAGCCACCGGCUGCUGCUGAGUGGGCCUGUCUUCUGCGUCCCCUGCGAGGGAGAGAGCCUGAGGGGAUCUGGAACCUGCUUUCUAUUGUGCGGGAGAUGUUUAAGAGGCGGGAUAGCAACGCUGCUCCUUUGCUGGAGAUUCUGACUGACCAGUGUCUCAACUAUGAACAGAUAACCGGCUGGUGGUACAGUGUACGGACAUCUGCGUCACACAGCAGUGCUAGCGGGCACACAGGACGCAGCAACGGCCAGUCAGAAGUAGCUGCUCAUGCCUGUGCAAGUAUGUGUGAUGAGAUGGUGGUUCUUUGGAGGCUGGCUGUCCUUGACCCAACUAUUAGUCCACAGAGGCGCAGGGAUCUUUGUUCCCAGCUUAGACAGUGGCAGCUGAAGGUCAUAGAUAACGUUAAGAGGGGUCAGCACAAGAAAUCACUGGAGAAACUAUUCCAGGGUUUCAAGCCAGCAGUGGAAGCCUGUUACUUCAACUGGGAGGAAGCUUAUCCUAUCCCUGGGAUCACCUAUAGCAGCACUGACAAGAAAAACUCAUUUUGUUGGGUAAAGGCCAUCCAACAGAGGAGCUGCCGGUUGCAGUGUGCAGAAACUGCUUGUGAGGCUGCUAGAGCCCAUGGACAGGAGCCUGGGGGACCAUGUCUGCAGCCUGGGGACAGGCUGCGUCCCUCUCCCCAGGAGCCAGCAGUUCGUCCAAAGGAACUUACUGGAAAGCGGAAAGUUGUCUCUGAAACACCCCAGAGAGUUCUGAGACGACUUUCAGCAGAAGGUGAUAAAGCUGUGUAUAAGACUGCAGUGGGCAAAGCUAAGUUGCCAGUGAGCAAAGGUUUGACCAGCAAACAUAGUGGGAAACGCCGCAUGAGCAGUGAAGACAGCUCCCUGGAGCCAGACUUAGCAGAGAUGAGCCUGGAUGAUAGCAGCUUGGCUCUGGGUGCAGAAGCCAGCAAUACGUUUAGUUUUACAGAAAGCCCACUGAGCAGGAGCUACAGGGAUGCCUUUGAGGAGGACGGUGGGGUGUACUUCUCUGAGGGACCUGAGCCCAGUGUCAGGAGCAGUUCCACGGCCAAGAAAUCACCCAAAGAUCCUGUGGGGGAGAUGGGUAGCGGUGAUGAUGACCUGACUUCUGCUGAUGAGAACAGCGGUGGUGUGAGCCUGAAGCCAGAAGAAGUAGGAGAGAAUGGUGCGGCAGGGGGAGGGGAUGAUGGAGAAGAGGAAGAUGAUUACCAGGUAUACUAUCUGAAUCCACAAGAGGUAGCCAAGGAAGAUGAUGACAAAGCUGAAGGGGGAAAUGAAGAGGAGCAGGAUAUAUUUGCUGGUAUAAAGCCUCUGGAGCAGGAGAACCGGAUGGAGAUCCUGUUUGCCUGUGCAGAAGCCCUGUAUGCACAUGGAUACAGUAAUGAAGCAUGUCGCUUAACUGUAGAGCUUGCCAGGGACCUACUGGCUAACCCUCCAGAUCUCAAAGUGGAGCAGCCACCAACUAAGGGCAAAAAGAACAAGGUAUCAACCAGCAAGCAAACAUGGAUGGCAACCAACACCUUGUCCAAAGCUGCUUUCCUGCUGACUGUAUUGAGUGAGCGGCUGGAGUACCACAACCUGGCCUUCCGAAUAGGAAUGUUUGCUCUGGAGCUGCAAAGACCACCUGCCUCUACCAAGGCACUGGAGGUGAAGCUGGCAUAUCAGGAGUCUGAGAUUGCAGCCCUCUUGAAGAAGAUUCCCUUGGUCACUAAUGAGAUGAAUACUAUCCGAGGAAGAGCUGAAGAACUGCGAGAAGGAACAUUAUGUGAUUAUCGUCCUGUCCUGCCUCUCAUGUUGGCUAGCUUUAUAUUUGAUGUCCUGUGCACUCCAGUGGUUUCUCCUACAGGCUGUAGGCCCCCAAGUCGUAAUUGGAAUAAUGAAAUGCCUGGAGAUGAAGAACUUGGUUUUGAAGCAGCCGUUGCUGCUCUUGGCAUGAAGACAACUGUCAGUGAAGCAGAACAUCCUCUGUUGUGUGAAGGCACUCGAAGGGAGAAAGGAGAUCUGGCACUAGCCCUGAUGAUUACUUACAAGGAUGAUCAAUCAAAGCUUAAGAAGAUUUUAGACAAACUUCUGGACAGAGAGAGUCAGACUCACAAGCCACAGACCCUGAGUUCCUUCUACUCUUCCAGCAAGCCUACAGUAGCAAAUCAAAAAUCUCCUUCCAAACAUGCUGCCCAGUCCACUGCAGCUAUCCAGCAGCUUCCAGGGACUUCUGUCGCUCAGCAAGCUGGUGUAAGCCCAGCAGUUCAGAGCAGUCCUGAGACCUUUGUGGAGAAGAGUUCACAGGAGAGCUCUCAGAGGUCCCCAUGUGAGCCAGCUGGGGAAUCCACUGUCUUGAAACAGGAGGGAAAGGUCCCCAGUCGCCUGGCCCUUGGAAACCGAGGUGGAUACAAUGGGCGAUGCUGGGGUUCACCCGUCAGACAGAAGAAGAAACACACAGGCAUGGCUAGUAUUGACAGCAGUGCUCCUGAAACUACUUCUGACAGUUCUCCAACGCUCAGUCGGCGUCCCCUACGUGGGGGAUGGGCAACAACAUCCUGGGGCAGAGGACAAGACAGUGACAGCAUCAGCAGUUCUUCAAGUGAUUCACUGGGAUCUUCCUCUUCCAGUGGUAGUAGGAGAGCCAGUGGGGGAGCCCGUGCAAAAACUGUGGAAGUUGGCAGGUAUAAAGGGAGGCGGCUGGAGAGCCAUGCUCCUCAUGUCCCAAACCAGCCUUCAGAGGCAGCUGCCCACUUCUACUUUGAGUUGGCCAAGACAGUCCUUAUCAAAGCAGGUGGAAACAGCAGUACCUCCAUCUUCACCCACCCUUCCUCCAGUGGUGGGCACCAGGGACCACACCGCAACCUUCACCUCUGCGCCUUCGAAAUUGGGCUGUAUGCACUAGGGCUGCACAACUUUGUGUCUCCCAACUGGCUCUCUCGAACUUACUCCUCCCAUGUCUCCUGGAUCACAGGGCAGGCCAUGGAGAUCGGUAGUGCAGCCCUGAACAUCUUAGUGGAGUGCUGGGAUGGACAUCUGACCCCCCCAGAGGUGGCGUCACUGGCGGACAGAGCCUCGCGGGCCAGAGACUCCAACAUGGUGCGGGCAGCUGCUGAACUGGCGCUCAGCUGCCUGCCCCACGCCCAUGCCCUGAACCCAAAUGAGAUCCAAAGGGCUCUGGUGCAGUGCAAGGAACAGGACAAUCUGAUGCUGGAAAAGGCCUGUAUGGCAGUAGAAGAGGCAGCCAAGGGAGGUGGCGUGUACCCAGAAGUCCUCUUUGAAGUAGCUCACCAGUGGUACUGGCUUUAUGAACAGAUUGUUGGUGGGACUCCAGCCCAGAGAGAAGGUGCCACUGGCUGCAGUGCCAGUGGUGCACGGGCUGCCUCAGAAGCAGCACGUGGGUUGUCAGACAACCGGGUGACCUCUGAGCCAACCACCGUAACAGUGGCAGCUGCAGUAACCGCAGCAGCGACGGUCAUGCCAGUGAUCUCUAUGGGGUCAACCAUGUACCAGCAGCAUACAAUGGCAGGACCGGCAAUGGCGCAUACACAUACCCAGGGCCUCCACCCUUACACCACCCUUCAGACUCACAUUCCCUGCAAUCCCCAGUAUAUUGGACACACUAUCCAACACAUGCCACGUCCAGCUGUCUUCCCAGUGCCUGGCUCAGCGUACCCGCAGAGUGUCCAUCCAGCAUUCAUAGGAGCACAGUACCCCUAUUCGGUAACAACACCAUCACUGGCUGCUACAGCAGUGUCGUUCCCUGGUGUGCCAGUCCCAUCCAUGACGCAGAUAGCGGUGCAUCCCUACCACAGUGAGACAGGACUGUCAUUGUCUUCCAACGUAGCGAUAGGAAGUGUCCAUGCAGGAUCAACGUUCCCAGCGAUUCAGGGGGCUUCCUUGACCUCUCUGUCCUCACAGCCCAACUCCCUCGUUACAGGGGGGUUUCCUGCCGAGGAUGAGCAGCACAGUCAGCCUGUGAGCCCCCAGGGUCUGCACUACCUCCACUCUGCAUACCAAGUUGGGAUGCUGGCUCUGGAGAUGCUUGGCCGAAGAACUCAGAGCGAUCAUCCCAACAACUUCUCCCGCAGCCCACCCUACACGGAGGAUGUAAAAUGGCUCCUUGGGUUGGCUGCAAAACUAGGUGUAAACUACUUGCAUCAGUUUUGCGUCGGUGCAGCCAAGGGAGUGCUGAACCCUUUUGUGCUGCAGGAUAUCAUCAUGGAAGCUCUACAGAGGCUCAACCCUGCGCAUGUGCACAACCACCUGCGCACCCCAGCCUUCCACCAGCUGGUGCAGAGGUGCCAGCAGGUCUACUUGCAGUACAUCCAUUACCGGCUGAUCCAUCUCGCUCCAGCUGACUACGAUGACUUUGUGAACGCCAUCCGCAGCGCCAGAAGCGCUUUCUGCCUGACUCCCGUGGGCAUGAUGCAGUUUAAUGAUAUUCUCCAGAACCUGAAGCGUGGCAAGCAGACAAAGGAUCUGUGGCAAAGGGUCUCUCUGGAAAUGACCACCUUCUCACCGUGACAGCAGGUGGAGCUCCACACAACCCUUUGCUCCGCAUAGUGUAGUUCCAUUUACACCAUCCUUCCUUCUGGUGUCUUUUUUAUUUUAGUUUUAACUUGUUGGAAACCACUGAUCUGAUGUAUUUAUACCAUGACAUUCCUCUCCAGCACUGUUGCGUGUCGGUGCUCUGCUUCGCUCGCUCUUCCUCCACCUUCCCAGUGGGCUGCAGGCUUCAGAAGCAUCAGGAAAUGAGAAGGAAGUCAAGCUGGCUGCCCUGUGGCGUAGUCAUUGCUUUUUUCCCUGAGCCCCUGGAGGCUGUCCUGCGAGCAGUUUGCAGGGUGAUUGCGCAUGUGUUUGAGGGGUGGGGGAGUCUGUCUUAAGUAUUUAUUUUGGCAUUUAUAAAUAUGUAAACUUUUUUUAUGUAUGGGCUUCUCUUACUCCACAUACCAUCUCCUGUCGGGAGAGGCUGGGACUGCUGUGCACAGUCAGUGCUCCCUCCAUUCCUUUCAGCACCUUCCUGCUGAGAGAAGCUGAGACUGGAGUAGCAGGGCCAGGGCCACCUCUGUGGCUUUCUGCAGCAGCUGCGGAGGGCAGAGGCUGGAGCUUGGGCAAGGUCCAAGACUGCCCCAAGCUGCCUGGUGACUGCCAGAAGUGCUUGGGCUCUUUCUCAAGAGUGUCCUUUGCUGGACACUGCUGGCUCUUAGGACGUUUUGAUCCUGGUCGUUUGGAGUUGUACAAUCGUGUUUCUUUUGGCUGGGGUAUUACUCUCCUGUAAUCAGUUUCUUAUCCCUUGUCUCUUCUCGUUUCCUGAUUAAACACUCGUUUUCUUAGACUGACUCUCUCUUCUCUCUGCUAUGAUGUUGACAUUCUGAUGGAACUGGCCAGCCUUGUGAGUGCUGUAGAUAGUCUAAGGUUCAUUGGGGAAUAACAGCUAGCACGAGGCAGGUGGCCAGAGCUUUUACACAAGCUGUGACCCAGAAGUUUCUUGUCUGGUUGUGCUCUGUGGAUGCCAUACCUCUGCAGAGGCUGAGGUCUGCUCUGACUGGAUGGUUGAUGGAUGUGAGCAGAGCUGGCGGUAAGCCUGGGGCAUCCCAGAGCAGUGUCUAUGUUUAUGCUGGCCACCGGGUUCCUCUUGUGCUCUGGACAGCAGGGAUACCAUGUGAUAAUGUGGAGCUUUGUAUUUCCAGAGCUUUGUGCAAAACUGGAGCUGCUCGUGCUUGAUGUAAGUGCUAAAGAUGAGCAGUCUGCUCCUGUGAGUUGUGAGAGGUGUUUAGACUACCCAGUUUUCUGUUGCAGAGAAUUAAUUUUAGAAAGUGUAUAUUUUUAUGCCAAGGAAAUUUGGAAGGCUAAUGCCAUAUGUAAGCACACAAGCACAGUAAUUUUUUUUUUAAUGUCAUAAUUACGGAUUUGAUGUAUGUUAAGAAUCUUAAUGUCUCAGUAGUAAUAUAUUUUGCCACUUGGGUUUAGCCAAUGACAAUAGGAAGGUUUCAGUUUUUGCAAGCUAAAAGCGUAUGCGUGUUUGAUAUUUUCAAUGAUAUUCUUGAGAAAUAAUUUAACUCACAAGCGUAGGACAAAGCGGAUGAGCAUACUCCUUUGGUCUGUCUUUCUGUGCUGCACAAGCCAAGGAGUGUGACUGAGGUUCCUCUUAAUUCUGACUGCAACAGUAACUAUUUAAAGGCCCCCUUGCAGCCCUUUGUAUACCUCCAUCAUGUGUUCCACGGCCUGGUUAUGUGCUAAUUAUAAAUGCCAAUGUGUGUAAGUAUGUGUUAAAUUUUGUGGUUUUUAAGCUAACUCUGUGUUGGUUGUGAGCUGCCUGUUAUUGAGGAGACGUCCGGGCCUCUGAAAGGAUGGCACGGCCUCACCUCCGGCAAGUCUGGGUUCCUGAAGCACUUUGUGCCCUUUGGUGCUCACAUGUUCAGGGCUGGGAAAAGAGUUGGGAGGAAAAAAUGAGUGUUUUCUAAUAAAGUUUAAUCUUUUCCUUUCCAUUGUUUAUGGAGAGCAAUUAAGGGUAGAGAAGAGAGCAUCUUCUAGAAGGAAAGAAGCAGAAAGAAAUGGGCAAGAAAGCUGAAUGUUUUCAGUAGCAGGACAGACCCUGUAAGAGUUGUCUUCUAGCAGCUGCGGGGCCCAAGCAGAGGAAGAACCAGGGAAUCUCACCUCAGACUGAUGUCAACUGAACAAGCAGCUCAGUGGUCUGAGGCACAGGUCAGUAGUUUCACAAGUUUCCAGUCUUCUCUCUGAAAACUAGAGCACUCAGGGAGCUGCGUGGAAGGGCUGCCUUGUCAUUUAUUCAGGCCUGUCAGAACAUUCUUCAUCCUGGAUCUCCAGAUCUAUUAAUCUUUUGUUGUUCCUGAGCCAUGGAAAUGUAUCUGAACAAGAACAGGAAGAGUGAGAAAGGAGAUGUUUUUUUCCUGCUACGUGCCUGGAAGGUUCUUGAGGUAAUCUUUCUUUUAUAAGAGAUGAUGGUGAACAAAGAAGCAUUAGUUUACCAUAAGUUAAAAAAAAAAAAAAAAAAAAAAUCCAAUGCAGUCUUGUUAGUUUGGUCACUGUUCCAGACAUGGGGGAAGUACUCAGGCUCAGAAAUUCUGAAGACACUUCAGCAGAGAACCUGUGGAAGAGCAGAGGUUACAGCUGCCUCCAAUUCCCUUUGAGUUUCAGUCAGCCUGUGUGUUUUUUCAUUUGAAGUAAAUGGUCUCUAGGGCUCUCGCCUUCAUCAGCAGCACGUGGUGGCUGCAGUGAAGACUGUCUGCCACAGCAGCUGGAUGCUCUAGAGCACUUCUAACACAGAAUGUCUUUUACAUAGCUGACAAGCUGUUUUCUUGGGUUGGCGACUACUGGUUCUCGGCACUAAUAGCUACAGCUAUUUGGAUAUGGCCUGGCCCCCAGUUGCACAAAGAUGGAUGAAAUUCUGGAAUGCGUGACCUUGCAGUGGGUUAUUGUCACAUUUGCUAAAGUUUUAUUCACUGUCCGUUCCUUGAAGGUAAGAGGAAUGAGAUCUUUAGAUGGUACGUCUUCAUGUGUCCUGUGUUCACAAUGACUUUCUCUGACUUGCUAGAUUUAUUUCUUGAUGGGACCACAGGAAAUAUGUUUCUUCCCUGAAGAAGUUAAUGGCCAUUUAGUGUCUUUUCCACUUUUAUAUAUGUGAUCUUAUAAAUAAAGCUGUUUCUAGGACAGCAGUGUAUCUAAAUGUGAUCUUUUGAUUACUGCACAGUUUCUCAGUCUUUAGAGGUGGUAGUAUCUUGAAGUAAAUCUUCACUGUCUUUAGUGAAGUUGGUAGAUGUGCCAAAAUAACAUCUGGAUUCUUGGCUAUUUGGGUCAUCAGAAGGAAUGUUUUGAUUUAGCUCUUAACGCAGUGGAUAAAAUAAAGGCUUUAUUCAUUGCUUGGAAUGAAUCUCUUGAUACAGAUGCAGCCUUUUUCUGUAAAAAUCAGGUACAUCAGCCUCAGAGAGGGCCUGCUUCCCUUCUCCCCUCUGUAGGGAAGUGCAUAGGACAUACUCACAUACAACCAUCUUUCUUGCCUGUGAAGGUUUUCCUUUUGGAAGCCCUUUCCAGGAGUAUGAUGUAGCAGGACAUUACCUGCCUUUAAAUUUCAGCAUCUUUACAGCCAGCAAACAAUCAGAGUUGUCAUCUGAUGAAUAACGUACCUAACAGGUAGGACUAGAGUUAGCUGAGAAGCGUGUUUCUUUCAAAUUUUUCUUUACUUUCAUUAGUAUUUAUUUGGGAUGUGUAUUUUCCUUCUCGGAGAAAACCCUGACAGAAACACCCUCGUAGGGGUACACUGAACCUAAAUUGUUAGCAUUUUAUUGGGGUGGAGGUUUGGUUUUUAGUCAAGCUUAGCACAUUUAGAUCUGGCUUGGCCACCGCUACAUAGUGCUGGAGCACACUGAAGAAUUUUGUAAGAACCAGCACCAGCAGAAAUGGAGUAAGCAAGGUUCGUGUCCAUGAAAUUUAAUACCACAUCCUGGUAUAAAUAAUAGCUGAAAUGUGACAUAAAUGUGAAGUAGUUUUCUAUAAGAUUUGGGAAAGUUGUUUUUUGGUUUUGUUUUUCUUGUUCAGGAAUUGAGAAAAGGGCACAGUGUUAAAAUGAAGCUUCCAGGAUGCACGUGGGAGAUAUAUUGCAAAAACAUAAAGGUGUUGAUGACUACAACAGCAUUGAUGACUUUCUUUUUUAAUCUAAACUUAAAAAAUUUUAAUCUAAAAUUAAAAAUGCAGGUUAGGCUAGUGGAACUUAACUAUAAAAAUAUAUACAUAUUUUUUAUGACCACAACUGUUGUAUGACUUUGCUUUUAAUCCAUCCCUAGUGAUAGCACGAACUGCUCUCAACUACAGUUUAUCUAGAAUAGUUUGGUAUUUCUCUACGUCCUAAUUAGAGCUUCAUAUGAUGUGAUUAUGGUAAAAUAACAAGGGAGUCUUAAAUAUUACCAUUUUUGUUUACUACCUCUCACUCCUCAGCACAAUUUAAAUGUGGAUUUUGAUCUUCAUUCUGCUUCCUGCUCACAUUUGGAACUUGAACUUGGGGGCAGGGUGGUCAACAACUCCUGUCAAAGAGCAUCAUUAAUCUGUGAAAACUGCAAGUGCAGUCUGGGGAUAUUCUGCGUUAGGGUUUCAGUUUGAGCCUACCAUGAAUUAAAGCUUUUUCUCAGGGCUACCUGCCAAAUACAAGCUUUGUGAGCUGUCACAAGGUAACUCCACUGCUGUAUAUUGUUAAUUGUUGGUAUAACAACAGUGUCUGUGCUCUGUAAGCAACUGUUUUCUCGUUGAUGUUGCCUGUUUGCAGUUAUAGCAUAACUAACUUCUUAAUGCUGUACACUCUGCACUGCACAAUUACUCUGUUGCCACUAAGGGCAUGAUGAACUAUUAAGGGGUUGAGGGGAGAAAUGCUAGCGAUGCAUUAAAAUUUAUUGUGUAUAGUAUAUGUGCACAGAGCUGGAAUGGUCUUCCAUAACUUUCUCUGAUUUCAUGCUUCAGUUUUCCUUGUUUAAGUCAACUGGGAGUACAUCAUUGUUAGGAAUGCUGGGGCUAUGCAGGCAACAGUUGUGCGAGCCUUAGUGUCAACAUGUUGCUGUAAAUCCCGAUGUGCACCUUUUCCAAUACUUGACUUGGCAGGGUUCUGAGAACAGUCUGAUUUAUGAUCCUUUGUUGUUACUGCAAAGUAAACUUGAGCUGGAUUUCAGCCUGCUAUUGCAAUGUCAGAAUUACAGACAUAUGGUCUGCAAGCAUUCUGGAGAGACUAGAGAAGUCAAUAAAGCAAUAUAGAUGAGAAUGAGGAGGAUUUGCGUCUUGGAAAGAAAGCGCUCUUUAAAGCUAAAAAUAGACUGAAUAGAUCAAUAAAUUAUUUCUACAUAUUCCACUCCAGAGCACUGGAGAUGAAAGUGUCAGGGAUUCUUUGCUGUAGCAAAACCAACUUGUAAAGUGUUUUUCAGAGAUGAGAGUUAAAUUAAUUAACAGUUCUUAAUGUUUGUGGGUGGUGGGUUUGUUCUUUCUUUUCCUUUCUGUUUGUUAUUGUUUUUUCUUUUAAUUCCACGAGGCAUGAAGAAGGAAGGAGACAGAAACAAACAAUAGUAAAAAAAAAAAAAAAAGUCCUAAUAACUGGAGGGGUGUGUGUGUGUGUGUGUACCACUACUCACUCCAUAUCCUACUGAGUGAAUGGAGUUUUUCUUCCUAGCUUGAGGCAGGCUGCUGAAAACCCUUGUGCUUGUUAGAUCACACUCACCUGGUGGCUUACUCAGUGAUGCACAGUGUAAGUCAGGAGUCAGCGAAGGGAUGAGCAACCACAUUCAUGUUCAGUUCUCACCUGCUAUGUACGCUUCCAGUUCUGAAGUGACCUGAUCUGGCUACUAUUAAAAUUGCAGGCCCUUGUGAUACCUUUCUGAUGACUCAGUUUCCUAUGCCAAAAAAAGAAAACAUUAAUACAUUACAAAACAAUUUUCAGGUAAUGUCUUACGCUUAACAUUUUCCUUGUCUUGAAAGCUAACUACUUACUGUCAAAUUCUUCCUUACUAAAUAGUGAGGCAAGAAGACAAGGUUUAUUUGCUACUUAUUUCCACUGUCAAAACGAGCUGUGAGGGUCAGUAGCAAGUAAGUGACUGUGUCAGGAUAAAGUAAUCAGUGUGUCUGGCUAAAUCAGAUAAGGAUAUCCUACAUUUGGAUCUCGCCAUAGCAGGUGAUUUGUUUUCCAUUAUUGUAAGCAGUAAAGAAGUAGCACAGCAACGAAGAAAUGGGGGGGGGAUGGAAGGACAAAUAAUGAGAACACAGAGCUGUUCUCUGCUGCCUUGAUUGAAGGACCACUGCCAGUUAACAGCCCUGACAUUUAGUAAGCCCCUUCCAAAUUUGUUCCUGGUACCUUGACUUUUUUUUCUUUUUAAUGUCUGAAUCCAUCUACUUGAAGAUUUACCACAGUCCCGAGGUAAGGCAUGAAGUAAAUGUGUAAGAGACAACCUGUAAUGGCUUAAGUGAAGGAAGGAAGCUCUGUGCGUAAUGGAGCAGCAGUAGCAUCAGUCCUAGGAUCCUCCUGUGGUGG